This is a long non-coding RNA of Rhipicephalus sanguineus (brown dog tick), 125 nucleotides long. RefSeq lists it as uncharacterized. The transcript is spliced from 3 exons. The record is from RefSeq and is a predicted model, not a curated record. NCBI's taxonomy places the organism in Eukaryota, Metazoa, Arthropoda, Arachnida, Ixodida, Ixodidae.
GGAUGUUAGCUGUUUUAAGGUUGCAUGAGAUGGCGGCAAGCACUGUGUUCAUGUCUUUGCUGCUCAAGGUCGUCACAAUGGGCAAAGUUGUAGCACAAAUGACGGUUAGAGAGCCAGAAGACUGC